GAGCUCGAUGAGUAGGGCGGGACACGUGGUAUCCUGUCUGAAUAUGGGGGGACCAUCCUCCAAGGCUAAAUACUCCUGACUGACCGAUAGUGAACCAGUACCGUGAGGGAAAGGCGAAAAGAACCCCGGCGAGGGGAGUGAAAAAGAACCUGAAACCGUGUACGUACAAGCAGUGGGAGCACGCUUAGGCGUGUGACUGCGUACCUUUUGUAUAAUGGGUCAGCGACUUAUAUUCUGUAGCAAGGUUAACCGAAUAGGGGAGCCGAAGGGAAACCGAGUCUUAACUGGGCGUUAAGUUGCAGGGUAUAGACCCGAAACCCGGUGAUCUAGCCAUGGGCAGGUUGAAGGUUGGGUAACACUAACUGGAGGACCGAACCGACUAAUGUUGAAAAAUUAGCGGAUGACUUGUGGCUGGGGGUGAAAGGCCAAUCAAACCGGGAGAUAGCUGGUUCUCCCCGAAAGCUAUUUAGGUAGCGCCUCGUGAAUUCAUCUCCGGGGGUAGAGCACUGUUUCGGCAAGGGGGUCAUCCCGACUUACCAACCCGAUGCAAACUGCGAAUACCGGAGAAUGUUAUCACGGGAGACACACGGCGGGUGCUAACGUCCGUCGUGAAGAGGGAAACAACCCAGACCGCCAGCUAAGGUCCCAAAGUCAUGGUUAAGUGGGAAACGAUGUGGGAAGGCCCAGACAGCCAGGAUGUUGGCUUAGAAGCAGCCAUCAUUUAAAGAAAGCGUAAUAGCUCACUGGUCGAGUCGGCCUGCGCGGAAGAUGUAACGGGGCUAAACCAUGCACCGAAGCUGCGGCAGCGACGCUUAUGCGUUGUUGGGUAGGGGAGCGUUCUGUAAGCCUGCGAAGGUGUGCUGUGAGGCAUGCUGGAGGUAUCAGAAGUGCGAAUGCUGACAUAAGUAACGAUAAAGCGGGUGAAAAGCCCGCUCGCCGGAAGACCAAGGGUUCCUGUCCAACGUUAAUCGGGGCAGGGUGAGUCGACCCCUAAGGCGAGGCCGAAAGGCGUAGUCGAUGGGAAACAGGUUAAUAUUCCUGUACUUGGUGUUACUGCGAAGGGGGGACGGAGAAGGCUAUGUUGGCCGGGCGACGGUUGUCCCGGUUUAAGCGUGUAGGCUGGUUUUCCAGGCAAAUCCGGAAAAUCAAGGCUGAGGCGUGAUGACGAGGCACUACGGUGCUGAAGCAACAAAUGCCCUGCUUCCAGGAAAAGCCUCUAAGCAUCAGGUAACAUCAAAUCGUACCCCAAACCGACACAGGUGGUCAGGUAGAGAAUACCAAGGCGCUUGAGAGAACUCGGGUGAAGGAACUAGGCAAAAUGGUGCCGUAACUUCGGGAGAAGGCACGCUGAUAUGUAGGUGAAGCGACUUGCUCGUGGAGCUGAAAUCAGUCGAAGAUACCAGCUGGCUGCAACUGUUUAUUAAAAACACAGCACUGUGCAAACACGAAAGUGGACGUAUACGGUGUGACGCCUGCCCGGUGCCGGAAGGUUAAUUGAUGGGGUCAGCGCAAGCGAAGCUCUUGAUCGAAGCCCCGGUAAACGGCGGCCGUAACUAUAACGGUCCUAAGGUAGCGAAAUUCCUUGUCGGGUAAGUUCCGACCUGCACGAAUGGCGUAAUGAUGGCCAGGCUGUCUCCACCCGAGACUCAGUGAAAUUGAACUCGCUGUGAAGAUGCAGUGUACCCGCGGCAAGACGGAAAGACCCCGUGAACCUUUACUAUAGCUUGACACUGAACAUUGAGCCUUGAUGUGUAGGAUAGGUGGGAGGCUUUGAAGUGUGGACGCCAGUCUGCAUGGAGCCGACCUUGAAAUACCACCCUU
Molecule: ribosomal RNA, 1821 nt
Filed under: Escherichia coli
Lineage: Bacteria; Pseudomonadati; Pseudomonadota; Gammaproteobacteria; Enterobacterales; Enterobacteriaceae
Description: partial 23S ribosomal RNA
Rfam family: Bacterial large subunit ribosomal RNA
Source: RNAcentral